Molecule: ribosomal RNA, 468 nt
Filed under: uncultured bacterium
Lineage: Bacteria
Description: partial 16S ribosomal RNA
Rfam family: Bacterial small subunit ribosomal RNA
Source: RNAcentral
GACGAACGCUGGCGGCGUGCUUAACACAUGCAAGUCGAACGGAAAGGCCCUGCUUUUGUGGGGUGCUCGAGUGGCGAACGGGUGAGUAACACGUGAGUAACCUGCCCUUGACUUUGGGAUAACUUCAGGAAACUGGGGCUAAUACCGGAUAGGAGCUCCUGCUGCAUGGUGGGGGUUGGAAAGUUUCGGCGGUUGGGGAUGGACUCGCGGCUUAUCAGCUUGUUGGUGGGGUAGUGGCUUACCAAGGCUUUGACGGGUAGCCGGCCUGAGAGGGUGACCGGCCACAUUGGGACUGAGAUACGGACCAGAGUGCUACGGGAGGCAGCAGUGGGGAAUAUUGCACAAUGGGGGGAAGCCUGAUGCAGCAACGCCGCGUGCGGGAUGACGGCCUUCGGGUUGUAAACCGCUUUCGCCUGUGACGAAGCGUGAGUGACGGUAAUGGGUAAAGAAGCACCGGCUAACUACGUG